Felis catus (domestic cat) is the source of this 3382-nucleotide RNA transcript. RefSeq lists it as uncharacterized. Lineage: Eukaryota; Metazoa; Chordata; Mammalia; Carnivora; Felidae. The record is from RefSeq and is a predicted model, not a curated record. The transcript has 3 exons.
GGGUGAGCACUGGGUGUUACAUGUAGGAGAUGAAUUACUGGAUUCUAUUUCUGAAAUUAUUACUGCACUAUAUGCUAACUACCUUGGAUGUAAACUUAAAAUAAAAAUAAUUUUAAAAAUGGAUCAGUAAAUUCGAAGAGCUUCAAAAUUCUAUGAAACAUACUUGUAUUUUUGUCCCCACUGUAAGUCAUGCUCAGAAACUGAGCCUGUUUGCCUAUACUACCAGUGAAGUUAAUGAGAAGUAUAUCUUGAACCCUGAGGGGGGGUUGAUCCAGGGGGUAAGGGAUGUGAGGGAAGCAGAGUAAACAAGAUGCUUGAGCAGCCUACACUCCAGCUGGAGAGAAGAGAAUUUCAUCCGUGGAAGAAUCCUAACAUACUCUCUCAUCUGUGUACUUCCCACAGAAUAUUCCACCUUAAAUGCAGGGGAGGUAGACUGUUUACAAAGUCUCCUGUCCUCUAAAACUUCGUAUGAUGAGAUUCUGUCACUUCUGUCAUCAAAAGGUGGAGUCUACUUGUCCUUCCCUUGAAUCUAUGCUGGCCUGUGACUUGCUUUGGCCAAGAGAAUACGGGAAUAAUCGUUCUGCAAGAGGAAGUGCUUACAGCUCUUGGCACACUGCCACGAGACUGCCAUGCAUAGGUCAUGUGGAUUGGAACCCAGGUGCCCCCAACUAAAGCCCAGCGGGGCCUUGUUCCCAGCUGAUUCACCACCUGAGUGCAACCACAGUUCUAUUCCAGGAACACUCAAAUCUCUGGCUGACUCCACCUGCCUUUUACAUUCCAGACUCACGUCUUGAAAUGACAGUAGGAUGCCUCCAGCUUCCAGCCUCUCCUGGGUCGUAAUUUCAGCACAUCCCAAACUGAAAUCAAAGUGCCCUCAAAGCUGAACUCACUGUUUCCCCCAUAUUUCCAUUGGCAUCACCACCAUCCUCCAUGCAUUCGGGCUUAAAACCAGCCCCUGUACAAUAUUAUUCUGAGUCCAGUCAAUUCUUCCUCCAAAACGCCUCUAACAGCCAUUACUUCCCUUUUAUUCCCCUAUUACCAUUUACAUGGCAAUAAAAUUUGCAAUACAGUAAUUUUCUGUGUGGUAUCCCUGCCCCACAGUCCACUCUAUUAUGGGUUAAUAUUUCCUGAAGUACAGUUGGGACCUUGUUCAACGCAUCUCCCCCACCAAAGAGUUUCAACUGCUCCUUCUGAACUAAAUUCACACUCCCCAGGACCUGCCCUUCCCUGGGCUUUUACUGGUUUGUCUGUCACUGGAUAGACAUCUGAGCACGUCUUUAUCCUGCAGGAAUGUUAACCCCGGAAUGAAAGACAGCCCGGGCCCCCUAGACAGCACUCGCCUUCGCAAACUCCGCAUCCCUGCCACGCUGACUGCUCAACUUCUAUCCGCCCGCCUUCUCCUUCGCGGCCGGGACUGCCCUUCCAGGAGGGCCGAUUUCCCAAGUCCCAGCGCAAACACCUCCCUGAACCUCAAGUCCACACAGGGAAAACCAGAGAGCGAGCCCGGCCAGCCACGCCCACCCGGUCCCCCUUCGCCCGACGCCCGAGGACAGGGGCUCCCGUCCACACGGUCCAGCGCCCACCUGGUGCCCGGUCCGCGCGGCAGGUGCAGAAUGCACCGAGGGCUCCCGCAGCCCAGCACACGCCCCCACCCACCCCCCGAAGUGGCCUCAGGCACCCCGGAGGCACUCGGCUGCCGCUCAAUACGUACUCGUCCGACUACCGGUCAGUCCACCAAAAGCCCAAGGACCGCGCUCAACGAAGACGUCACGGUCUCGCGAGCGCCAGCCUCCCAGCAGCCCCGAGGCCGAGUCUCCACAGCUCUUUCUUCCGCCCCACGGGCAGUCGAGUCUCGGCUUUUCUAGGAUCGCGGUCCCGGCCUCUCUAGGAUGGCGGCCGCGCUUCUCUCUGGUGCGCCGGGAGGACCCCGUCGCUCCUUCCGCCCCGCGCAGGCGCGUCCCGACGCCCCGCGCCCACCCUCCUCUCUGUAAAUCUUUUCAAUUAAAAACGAGACGGCAAAGGCAAAACUGAGACUGUUUAGGAUCUUCUCAGGCUGCUGGUUAGACAGAUAAAUGAACAAUUACAAAAUAAGAAGCACAAGUUCUUAAAAUAUUCUGUCCUCCCCCAGGACAUGGUACGUGUCCCCCAGGACAUCGCUCUCAGUCGGCCUGCAUACAGCCAGAUGCAGGGCGAAAGGAAGUGGGUCAAAGACUGCCAAGUGCCUGUUCUGGCCUUCAUGCUACCCUUUCUUCUUAGUGACAGAAGGCUGAUUUUCAGCUGGGCACCCUGCAACCCAGAACAAGACACUCUCCAGACUCCCUUUCCUAAGUUUUGGCGUGCGACAUAUGUACUUACAGGACGCUUUUUGCAGAAGGCUGGCUUAACUGCGAGGGAUCUGUCGUCCCACCUGUCUGCAUCUUGCAUGUGAUGACUGGAGCUUCGGCACCACCAAGGACCAUGUGACCACCUCAAGGGCUGAUGGGGUGCACUGGCAUGUUGGAACAGAAAAGCAGAGGGAGGGUCCCUGGCGGUGUCAUGGAACCACUUUAUCAGUCCUGGACUGCUUAUCUCCAGAUUAUUCUGAGAGAAAAACAAGCUUUCAUGAAAUCACUCCUACUUUUUUUCCAUAAUCUAUAUGCAGCUGAACUAGGUAGAUCCUCAGCCACACACGAGGCCUCGCUCCUGUCGCAGACUAAGAAGUCUUUCCCAGACACUACACCCUAAGCAGCUACUGCCGAUCAGCACGCAGUGAUGAUGCUUCACGAGUGGACUCCCUGAAGCUUACUGUUCUUAUCAUUUCCGUGACAUUUUGGUAUUCACAGUACAAAGAUCAUGAUCUCCUCCCAGCUGACUUUACUGUUUGCUUCCAAAGAAUUCCAGAACAAGCACCAUUUUAAAACUGCAUUAUCAGGGCGCCUGGGUGGCUCAGUCGGUUAAGCGCAAGACUUCAGCUCAGGUCACGAUCUCAUGGUUCGUGUGUUCGAGACCCAUGUUGGGCUCUGUGCUGACAGCUCAGAGCCUGGACCCUGCUUUGCAUUCUCUGUUUCCCUCUCUCUCUGCCCCUCCCCUGCUCACGCUCUGUCUCUCUCUCAAAAACAAACAUUAAAAAAAUUUUUUUUAAUUGCAUCAUCAGUAUUAAAGGAAAACAGUCUAAUUUCUUUCCCCAUUUCCUAAACAGUGUCUAUGGAGGACCCACUUUCCUGACACUGAAGUUUGUAUCAAGACAGUUACUACCUGGAUUCACUCAGCACUGUUCAUUCACAUGACUUAUAAAAUCUCUCCCACAGUUUAACCUGGAUUUCUAACCUGAAUGAGUGAAGUAUUGUAGCAAGACUAGGGGUGGGAAAUGGUAAAAUUAGAUCAUCUUUGCUUUCUAAAAUGC